UAUCAUUUUCCAUAACUACUAAUUUUAGAGUGUGAAACGGCCUAUGUAUCUAUCUGAGAGAGAGAGAGCUUGUGCACAUAUGUGUAUAUAUAAGGUUUAGACUGAGAAGUUUAUUAGCAAGGAGAUUUCUGCAGAAGAGGGGAGCAUUUUUCCUGCAUGCCAUCCAUGCCUGGAGAUGCCAGCAAUGUCACUGGAAAUUCUAGACAAAGACCAGACUCUGGUGACACAGUUUAGAGAAUGACUGCACCACCUGUGUCUGGAUCCAGCCCAUGGGGCAUUAGUGAAGAAACUGUGUGGAAUUUAAAACUAAGAGUGUCAACUUUGAAAAAUAUAAAAGAUUUUGAAGGAAAAGUCAAGAUCUCAGCUAUAAAUCCAUGAGAGCCUUCUGUAAAAGAUGAAGUCAAU
RNAcentral lists this long non-coding RNA (405 nucleotides) under Anas platyrhynchos platyrhynchos (common mallard). RNAcentral's name for it is "lncRNA (ENSAPLG00000017515.1)". The record is from RNAcentral. Lineage: Eukaryota; Metazoa; Chordata; Aves; Anseriformes; Anatidae.